CUACGGGGGGCUCCAGUGGGGAAUAUUGCACAAUGGGGGCAAGCCUGAUGCAGCCAUGCCGCGUGUAUGAAGAAGGCCUUCGGGUUGUAAAGUACUUUCAGUAAGGAGGAAGGCAGUUGCGUUAAUAGCGUAAUUGUUUGACGUUACUUACAGAAGAAGCACCGGCUAACUCCGUGCCAGCAGCCGCGGUAAUACGGAGGGUGCGAGCGUUAAUCGGAAUUACUGGGCGUAAAGCGCAUGCAGGUGGUCUGUUAAGUCAGAUGUGAAAGCCCCGGGCUCAACCCGGGAUGGUCAUUUGAAACUGGCAGGCUAGAGUACUGUAGAGGGGGGUAGAAUUUCAGGUGUAGUGGUGAAAUGCGUAGAGAUCUGAAGGAAUACCGGUGGCGAAGGCGGCCCCCUGGACAGAUACUGACACUCAGAUGCGAAAGCGUGGGGAGCAAACAGGAUUAGAUACCCUCGUAGUC
This 464-nucleotide ribosomal RNA is filed under the name uncultured bacterium. RNAcentral describes it as "partial 16S ribosomal RNA". It matches the Rfam family "Bacterial small subunit ribosomal RNA", at positions 339 to 795 of the family's 1533-position model. The record is from RNAcentral.